GACGAACCGUGCGAACGUUGUUCGGAUUCACUGGGCGUAAAGGGCGCGUAGGCGGCCCUCCUUGUCGCGUGUGAAAGCCCCGGGCUCAACCUGGGAACGGCGCGCGAGACGGGGGGGCUGGAGUUCGGGAGAGGAGCGUGGAAUUCCCAGUGUAGAGGUGAAAUUCGUAGAUAUUGGGAAGAACACCGGUGGCGAAGGCGGCGCUCUGGACCGAGACUGACGCUGAGGCGCGAAAGCGUGGGGAGCAAACAGG
Molecule: ribosomal RNA, 253 nt
Filed under: uncultured bacterium
Lineage: Bacteria
Description: partial 16S ribosomal RNA
Rfam family: Bacterial small subunit ribosomal RNA
Source: RNAcentral